GUUGAACGCUGACAGCAUGCUUAACACAUCAGCAAUUGAUUGGUGGCGGACGGGUGAGUAACGCGUAACGAACUUGCCUCACAGCUCGGGACAACACUUGGAACCGAAUGCUAUUACCUAUUCCUGUGAGAGCGCAUUCCGUCCCACUAGCAAGUUGGGGAGGUAACGGCUCACCAAGGCGAUGAUGGGUAGCCGGCCUGGGAGGGUGAUCGGCAACAAGGUGACGAGGACACGGCCCGUACUGCGACGGGAGGAAGCAGUGGAGAAGAGUGAACAAGGGACCAAAGUCUGAAGCAGCAAUUCGGUGUGGACGAUGAAGUUUUCGGAAGGUAAAGGGCUUAGUGAUGGGAAGCGGUACCAACAGAAGAAGUGACGGCUAAAUACGUGCCAGCAGCCGCGGUAAUAC
RNAcentral lists this ribosomal RNA (406 nucleotides) under uncultured bacterium. RNAcentral's name for it is "partial 16S ribosomal RNA". It matches the Rfam family "Bacterial small subunit ribosomal RNA", at positions 28 to 526 of the family's 1533-position model. The record is from RNAcentral.